UGGCGGCAUUAGCGCGGUGGUCCCACCUGACCCCAUGCCGAACUCAGAAGUGAAACGCCGUAGCGCCGAUGGUAGUGUGGGGUCUCCCCAUGUGAGAGUAGGGAACUGCCA
This 111-nucleotide ribosomal RNA is filed under the name Klebsiella pneumoniae. The record is from RNAcentral. Lineage: Bacteria; Pseudomonadati; Pseudomonadota; Gammaproteobacteria; Enterobacterales; Enterobacteriaceae.